Molecule: ribosomal RNA, 1520 nt
Filed under: Exiguobacterium sp. MAAC
Lineage: Bacteria; Bacillati; Bacillota; Bacilli; Caryophanales
Description: bacterial SSU rRNA
Rfam family: Bacterial small subunit ribosomal RNA
Source: RNAcentral
AGAGUUUGAUCCUGGCUCAGGACGAACGCUGGCGGCGUGCCUAAUACAUGCAAGUCGAGCGCAGGAAGCCGUCUGAACCCUUCGGGGGGACGAACGGUGGAAUGAGCGGCGGACGGGUGAGUAACACGUAAAGAACCUGCCCAUAGGUCUGGGAUAACCACGAGAAAUCGGGGCUAAUACCGGAUGUGUCAUCGGACCGCAUGGUCCGCUGAUGAAAGGCGCUCCGGCGUCGCCCAUGGAUGGCUUUGCGGUGCAUUAGCUAGUUGGUGGGGUAACGGCCCACCAAGGCGACGAUGCAUAGCCGACCUGAGAGGGUGAUCGGCCACACUGGGACUGAGACACGGCCCAGACUCCUACGGGAGGCAGCAGUAGGGAAUCUUCCACAAUGGACGAAAGUCUGAUGGAGCAACGCCGCGUGAACGAUGAAGGCUUUCGGGUCGUAAAGUUCUGUUGUAAGGGAAGAACAAGUGCCGCAGGAAUGGCGGCACCUUGACGGUACCUUGCGAGAAAGCCACGGCUAACUACGUGCCAGCAGCCGCGGUAAUACGUAGGUGGCAAGCGUUGUCCGGAAUUAUUGGGCGUAAAGCGCGCGCAGGCGGCCUCUUAAGUCUGAUGUGAAAGCCCCCGGCUCAACCGGGGAGGGCCAUUGGAAACUGGGAGGCUUGAGUAUAGGAGAGAAGAGUGGAAUUCCACGUGUAGCGGUGAAAUGCAUAGAGAUGUGGAGGAACACCAGUGGGGGAAGGCGACUCUUUGGCCUAUAACUGACGCUGAGGCGCGAAASGUGGGGGAGCAAACAGGAUUAGAUACCCUGGUAGUCCACGCCGUAAACGAUGAGUGCUAGGUGUUGGAGGGUUUCCGCCUUCAGUGCUGAAGCUAACGCAUUAAGCACUCCGCUGGGGAGUACGGUCGMAAGCUGAAACUCAAAGGAAUUGACGGGGGCCGCACAAGCGGUGGAGCAUGUGGUUUAAUUCGAAGCAACGCGAAGAACCUUACCAACUCUUGACAUCCCCCUGACCGGUACAGAGAUGUACCUUCCCCUUCGGGGGCAGGGGUGACAGGUGGUGCAUGGUUGUCGUCAGCUCGUGUCGUGAGAUGUUGGGUUAAGUCCCGCAACGAGCGCAACCCUUGUCCUUAGUUGCCAGCAUUUGGUUGGGCACUCUAGGGAGACUGCCGGUGACAAACCGGAGGAAGGUGGGGAUGACGUCAAAUCAUCAUGCCCCUUAUGAGUUGGGCUACACACGUGCUACAAUGGACGGUACAAAGGGCAGCGAAGCCGCGAGGUGGAGCCAAUCCCAGAAAGCCGUUCUCAGUUCGGAUUGCAGGCUGCAACUCGCCUGCAUGAAGUCGGAAUCGCUAGUAAUCGCAGGUCAGCAUACUGCGGUGAAUACGUUCCCGGGUCUUGUACACACCGCCCGUCACACCACGAGAGUUUGCAACACCCGAAGUCGGUGAGGUAACCGUAAGGAGCCAGCCGCCGAAGGUGGGGCAGAUGAUUGGGGUGAAGUCGUAACAAGGUAACC